UGGGGAAUAUUGCACAAUGGGCGAAAGCCUGAUGCAGCGACGCCGCGUGGGGGAUGACGGCCUUCGGGUUGUAAACCCCUUUCAGCAGGGAAGAAGCGCAAGUGACGGUACCUGCAGAAGAAGCGCCGGCUAACUACGUGCCAGCAGCCGCGGUAAUACAGAGGGUGCAAGAGUUAAUCGGAAUUACUGGGCGUAAAGCGCGCGUAGGUGGUUUGUUAAGUCGGAUGUGAAAGCCCUGGGCUCAACCUGGGAAUUGCAUUUAGAACUGGCAGGCUAGAGUUUUGGAGAGGGGAGUGGAAUUCCAGGUGUAGCGGUGAAAUGCGUAGAUAUCUGGAGGAACAUCAGUGGCGGAGGCGACUCCCUGGUCAGUAACUGACGCUCAUGUGCGAAAGUGUGGGUAGCGAACAGGAUUAGAUACCC
This 420-nucleotide ribosomal RNA is filed under the name uncultured bacterium. Its description in RNAcentral is "bacterial SSU rRNA". It matches the Rfam family "Bacterial small subunit ribosomal RNA", at positions 355 to 787 of the family's 1533-position model. The record is from RNAcentral.